GCACGCCCGGCGCUACCCCAAACCUGCCCCACGGCGAGCUGAGUCCACCGGCACCAGCCCACGCCUCCCGUCCACCCUGAGGGUCAUGGAGCAGCAAGACUCGCGGGCGCCCAGGACUCCAACAUCAUGAGGGAGAUUGGUGUCAGAGCGCUCAGGGCAACCUGUGUAAACACAGAGAAAAGUGUUCCUGAAAAAUCCCAUACAGAAGUGAGGACUUCACCAUCUACCAUGGUUUCCAUCAAUAAGGUCUUGCAAAAUUUGAAUAUGGAAGCAUCAUGUUACCUGAAAGGAAAGCAAACCUGUCACCCCACACACAGAAGAGUAUGUGUUGGCAUCUCUGCAAGAAGGACACUUCCCUCGCAAGCUCAUGGCACAAGAAUAGGAUAUGGAGCAGGAAAACGCAUCUGAGUCAGGGCAGUGGAAGGAUGUGUCUGCCUCCACCGUCAGUCUUGCUCCAGACUGUGCAACCAUCCCUGUUCUACAGGGCUUAUGGAAGACGUGAUUGAUGACAUCCAAACUUACACUUAAGAUCUUCUGCUGAAGAUCUUCUGCUCCAAGGAUCAAACCUAACUACUCAGUCAACUAUUGUCAAUAUUUGAUUAUAUCCACUUCAUUCUCUUUAUGCUCUUCAGCCUCCUUAGCUAUACUCUUCUAAGUGUGAAAAAGUUCACAUGGCAGUAUUGGCAGGGGGAGGCUUAUGUCAUCUUCCCUAAGUGCUUCAUAGGUUAACUCUGAAAUGUCAGAAGCCCUGUGGGCAAAUUGCAGAAGCUAGAGAGGGCCUCCAUCAGCAUCCAAGAUCUGUGACAGUGGUUUUCUGAAGAGGCACUGAGGUUUUGCAGGUGGAAUACAGAAUCACCUGGGAGUUUUCUCAGACUACACUUGCCAGUUCCUUCCCCCAAACCCCGAGAGAUGGAUCUCGCCUUGCCACCAACCCGUUUAAAAUCACUGAUCUGGCUUGUUAGGAAAGAGCUUCAUUAAACUUAAAUUUAGCAUGUGAGGCUGUGGAUAACCCCAUCUCUGUUUCAGAGAAACAACUGUUUACUAUUCUAACACUCUGGAAACCUGGCAAGCCGCUCCAGGAGGGCUGGCAACCCUGAGCUCCAGAGGCUUCUGUGCAGCUGCUCUGUAAGGGACCCCUGCCCCAGCUCCCACCUGCCCAGCUCGGUGUUCAAAUUAGGAGGGGGUACAUGGCCAAGAACUUUGCAGGACCCAGAAGGGCAGCCAGAACCUAUUUUUGAUGAUCCUGAGGAUUAUUAAGAAAGGAAAUUCCACAAAGUCCUUGUAACUCUCAGAAAGGAUUUUGUUCCACUGCUUGCUUUCUUUGUCUUCCAAUUCUAUUUCUGGAUUUCCCUCUUUACAUUUCUAGGUCUGGAACUGAAUAGCAAUGAAGUAAAAGUGAUUGUCCUAAAGAGAUAUUCCUGGGUGAAAAAAUGGGUUACUGAAAAUCCCUGCCCACCACCUAUAUGAUGGUGGUAUUGGUGGACUUGUGAGAGGAUUUGAAGGACAGUUGGAGCCCUGAGAAUUCUGGGCUCCAGAAUUCCCAGGGGAUUCUGAAGGGGGAUUUUUAUUCUAUUGUCGCUUACUCUAGGGGAAAGUCGAUGUGGGUUACAGCUACCUAGGUAGUGGGGCUGAAUUAAUUGCUGCACACUGAGAAAUUGUCUUGCUUACACUUUCUUUCUGUAUUUAUUUAUUUUAUUGAAGUAUAGUUGAUUUACAAUGUUGUAUCACUUCACAAAAUGAUUCAGAUAUAUAUAUAUAUAUAUUACAUAUAUGUGAAACUUAUAACCAUAUACUUCUGUUAUAUUUUAUUAUAAGGUAUUGAAUAUAGUUCCCUGUGUAUACAGUAGGACCUUGUUGUUUACCUAUUUUGUAUACAGUAGUGUGUAUCUGCUAAUCCCAAACUCCUAAUUCGUCCCUGCCCUCCUUCCCCUUUGCUGACCGUAAGUUUGUAUUCUGUGUCUCACACUUUACUCUAGAAGCAUUUGUUGCAGGAAAAGCCUUCUGGUUAGAUCCUCAUCUUCUAAAUCACACGCUCCGUACGUGACCCUGGGUGUUGGAGCGGGGACACUGGACCAUAGAGGCGAAACAGCCCCAGUAUCCACAAGUGACGUGAUAGACAGGCCGCGUGAUCUCGGCAGCUAAAAUGAGACUCCAGACGCCAGAGGGAAUGGAAAGUGAUGACGCCGGACACCCGAACAGUAUCGUAACCUCAGAGGAUGUUCACAGCCAGGACUAUGUAAGCUGAAUGGACUGGAGCUAAGUGCGUAAGACAGCCUUGUGGACAGAGAAUGUAAUGACGUUGCCUUUUAUUUCCUGUUUGAGGUAUCCUGUCGAGUGAGCCUGCUCAUUACGGAGAAGAUAAAGUAAAGCUUUAAUUCAUCACUAUUUGAUGUUGGAAAUGCACCCUGGAAGAGUAUAGAGUUUACACACUUGAAGGCUAUCUUUAGCCAAACUUGUCCAAAGCCAUCUAUUCUGCAGUUAUCUUUAUUUUUGCCUAGCAGACCAUACAGCAGGCAGUGAAUACAUAAUUAGUCCUUACGGUGGACUAUUCUCCCCAGAAUUCUGGAAGCCAGGGCAAAAUUCCAGAACCUUCUUUUUAAAAGAUGUUAGUUUCUGUUAUAACAAAAAUAACAGCAGUGAACUAACAGUGAAAUAUGAUAUAUACAUUUAUAUAUAUAUAUAUAUAUACACUCCUCGUAUAAUUGAGUGAAUGAUACCUUUUAUUUUGAGAUUUUUGCUCUUUUCUCAUCUUUUUAAAACCAUUUUAAAGAUUGAAAUAUAGUUGAUUUACAAUGUGAUGUUAGUUUUAGGUACACAGCAAAGUGAUUCAGUUUAUAUAUAUAUAUAUAUAGCUAGCAUGCCUGCUCAGUCACUUCAGUCAUGUCCAACUCUUUUGCAAUCCCAUGGACUGUAGCCCACCAAACUCCUCUGUCUAUGGGAUUCUCCAGGCAAGAAUACAGGAAUGGGUUGCCAUGCCUUUCUCCAGGGGAUCUUCCCGACCCAAGGAUCAAACCUGUGUCUCCUGCCUCCCUUGCAUUGGCAGGCGGAUUCUUUACCCCUGGGCCACCUGGGAAGCCCUCACAGUUCUUAUACUUUGAUUUUGAAAUAUACAUAUGUGUUAUAGUUACCUAAAUACUGUUCAUUUAUAGGCUUUCAAUAAUUAAACUGACUCCAUUUAAAUUUAAACAGUUACUUCUAAUAGUAAUAGAAUAAAGUCUUGGUGGAGAAGGCAAGUUUUGCAACCUGAAAUCUUUUUAUACAUUGUUAUAGAAAAACAAUGCAUAGAAUUGGAACUAUACUAGGAGUUUGGGAAAAGGCUUAAAAGCAAAUUUGAAAUAUGUCCUCUAACCUUCUUAAUUAAAAACCAAACCAAAACAAACAAUCUGACCAUCA
RNAcentral lists this long non-coding RNA (3393 nucleotides) under Cervus hanglu yarkandensis (Yarkand deer). RNAcentral's name for it is "lncRNA (ENSCHYG00000014947.1)". The record is from RNAcentral. Lineage: Eukaryota; Metazoa; Chordata; Mammalia; Artiodactyla; Cervidae.